GGGAUGAGCUGUGGAUAGGGGUGAAAGGCUAAACAAAUCCGGAAAUAGCUGGUUCUCCCCGAAAACUAUUUAGGUAGUGCGUCACAUAUCACUUCCGGGGGUAAAGCACUGUUAUGGCUAGGGGGUCAUCGCGACUUACCAAAACCAAUGGCAAACUCUGAAUACCGGAAAGUGCGAGUGUGGCAGACAGACAGUGGGUGCUAACGUCCAUUGUCAAGAGGGAAACAACCCAGACCGCCAGCUAAGGUCCCCAAGACACAGUUAAGUGGGAAACGAAGUGGGAAGGCAUAGACAGCUAGGAGGUUGGCUUAGAAGCAGCCACCCUUUAAAGAAAGCGUAAUAGCUCACUAGUCGAGUCGUCCUGCGCGGAAGAUGUAACGGGGCUCAAACUGUGCACCGAAGCUGCGG
This 408-nucleotide ribosomal RNA is filed under the name uncultured bacterium. RNAcentral's name for it is "bacterial LSU rRNA". It matches the Rfam family "Bacterial large subunit ribosomal RNA", at positions 801 to 1205 of the family's 2925-position model. The record is from RNAcentral.